GAUAGGAGGUGAAAAGCAAAAGCAGUCAUAGUGCUCCAUACCAGAGCAAACUGUGGCUCUGAACCAUUGCCUGGCCUCUGCCUAUAGGCUGCUGGCACUGAAAUGUGUUUCAGAGUG
This 117-nucleotide small nucleolar RNA is filed under the name Castor canadensis (American beaver). Its description in RNAcentral is "Small nucleolar RNA SNORA42/SNORA80 family (ENSCCNG00000019539.1)". It matches the Rfam family "Small nucleolar RNA SNORA42/SNORA80 family", at positions 19 to 136 of the family's 136-position model. Rfam says of the family: The members of this family belong to the H/ACA class of snoRNAs that guide the sites of modification of uridines to pseudouridines. Human ACA42 (SNORA42) was cloned from HeLa cells by immunoprecipitation with anti-GAR1 antibody. Its is predicted to guide the pseudouridylation of residues U109 and U572 of 18S rRNA. The record is from RNAcentral. Lineage: Eukaryota; Metazoa; Chordata; Mammalia; Rodentia; Castoridae.